Lepus europaeus (European hare) is the source of this 502-nucleotide long non-coding RNA. RefSeq lists it as uncharacterized. The transcript is spliced from 3 exons. Lineage: Eukaryota; Metazoa; Chordata; Mammalia; Lagomorpha; Leporidae. The record is from RefSeq and is a predicted model, not a curated record.
ACCACCGGUGCUCAGAAACAAGGCUUACCAGAACCUUAACAAGUACAAACAUUUAUAGGAACAGAAAGAUACACUUACAUUUUAUCAGGAUAUAAAAAGAACUGAAGGCAAUCAAGGAAGUACCCUUGUUCUACCCUGUGUAUUUCACCAGUGUAACUUUAUGUUGCUCUAGAGUGGAAUUUCCCUCUUCUCUCCUGCAAGGAAAAUUUCCCAGAGAUCUACCGUGCCCUCCUUGGGUGUCACUCUGGACUCUUGCACCACUCCCAAACACUGGCUGGAGCUCCCUGCCCACACCCAGCACACACCUCUGAAUAUCCACGGAAGGAGCAGAGAUCUACUCCAAAGAGAAAAGGAUCAGAGGAGAAAAUCAACAAGCAGCUCCACAGAUGCCUAGAAAUAAACAUAGAAAUAAGAGAAACAUGAACAAGGAAGACAACAGUACUCCCCCAAAGGAACACAACGUUACAUCAAUAUUAGAACCUGAAGGCGAUGAAAUGCCUAA